Molecule: ribosomal RNA, 433 nt
Filed under: uncultured bacterium
Lineage: Bacteria
Description: bacterial SSU rRNA
Rfam family: Bacterial small subunit ribosomal RNA
Source: RNAcentral
AACGAACGCUGGCGGCAUGCCUAACACAUGCAAGUCGAACGAGACCUUCGGGUCUAGUGGCGCACGGGUGCGUAACGCGUGGGAAUCUGCCCUUCGGUUCGGAAUAACUCAGGGAAACUUGAGCUAAUACCGGAUAAUGACGUAAGUCCAAAGAUUUAUCGCCGAAGGAUGAGCCCGCGUAGGAUUAGCUUGUUGGUGGGGUAAUGGCCCACCAAGGCGACGAUCCUUAGCUGGUCUGAGAGGAUGAUCAGCCACACUGGGACUGAGACACGGCCCAGACUCCUACGGGAGGCAGCAGUGGGGAAUAUUGGACAAUGGGCGAAAGCCUGAUCCAGCAAUGCCGCGUGAGUGAUGAAGGCCUUAGGGUUGUAAAGCUCUUUUACCAGGGAUGAUAAUGACAGUACCUGGAGAAUAAGCUCCGGCUAACUCCGUG